UUCAAUAUUGCUGGCGGUUAAACGUGAGCAAUGUGCACUUUUCUCUUAGUAAGACGUUGUGAUCCAUUAGGAAUUGAUAGUGUCAACUAUUAUUGGGCUACCAAUAGACCUGUAUGAAGUUUAUCAAUUGGCAAAUAAUCCGAUCGUUUAUGGUUGUAUAUAUUGUCUGGUAAGCGUAUGGUGUUCUGGUGUAGCUGCCUGAUGGAUUUUAAAGGUCACAUCAUUAAUGUUUCGGCAUUACCCAUUCGUGGGAGAUAUUGAUAUGUACCCGAUCAACAGCGGUCAAAUUUGGGAUACCUUUAAGACCCGUCUUGAAACACGGACCAAGGAGUCUAUCUAGUAUGCAAGUAAAUGGGUAUAAUAAACCUAUUUGCGUAAAUAACUUGACUAUUCAAUGGGAUUACGAAUUGAAAGCAGCAAUGCUUGGUUCCUCCAUCCCGGGGUAUUUUUAUCAACAUAUGCUUGCAUAUGGAAAAUAUACCAUGAGCAUACUGGAUAUGACCCGAAAGAUGGUGAACUAUGCCUGAUCAGGUUGAAGUCAGGGGAAACCCUGAUGGAGGACCGAAGCAAUUCUGACGUGCAAAUCG
RNAcentral lists this ribosomal RNA (587 nucleotides) under Diamesa sp. SRM-2010. RNAcentral's name for it is "eukaryotic LSU rRNA". It matches the Rfam family "Eukaryotic large subunit ribosomal RNA", at positions 429 to 900 of the family's 3401-position model. The record is from RNAcentral. Lineage: Eukaryota; Metazoa; Arthropoda; Insecta; Diptera; Chironomidae.